CGUUGCCAGAGAAAGGACAAACUCCACAAGGCAGGAGCAUGCCUGGAGUUGUCAAGAUGCUGUGAAGAGGUCACCGUUACCGUGGCUGGAACGCAGACGUCAUGGGGUACACGGUAGGACACAGGGUGGGAGAGCGGCGUAUCACCUAUGCCAAGUAAAGCACGAGAGACAAUCCAGAGCUACACGAUCCCAUGUGGCAGCUCAUCAACUUCUUUCUUUUUGUAAUAAUGACAUUUCUCUUGAGGCUUGAGAAUGGAAGAAGAGAUGUCCAUGAAAAUUGCAGCAUUGUAUCAUGGAUUCUGUCUUUCUCCAGUGACUCACUUCAACAUGCAUGACUACCGGGCCAGCACUGUCAGCGAAAGAAGUCUCCUCUGUUACACCUUUGACUGAAGCUGGCAUCAUAAGAUACAAGUCCUCAGUCACCGGCAGCCUCUUCAUCUCCCAUAGGCCCAGUGGACUGCAGGUUGAAAGCUGGAGUAAGGAGCAAUUGAAAUGCAAGAAUGAACCGAACUCAACAGCACUGCAAAUGCACAGAUUCUCUUGUUUUCUGGAAUGCCCUUGAAAGCAAGGAAGCUGCUAGAACAUCAUCCUCUUCUUUGUAAGCUUAGACCUUAUUGAUUAUGAAUAUUUGAGAGUUAAUCUUUGCUUUCUAUGGUCAGUUGCCCACCGAAGACUUGAAAAAAAAAAAGAAACCGCGGUGAUUCACAGGAGCUGGGACAUCUUGAAAACGAAUGCAUUUGGUGGGCCGAUGCCAGCCUGAGUUGUGCUGGGAAAGUUUAAAGACUUUGUUUGUUUGUUUGUUUGUUUAUAGAGCACAAGCAGGGGGAGGGGCAGAGGGAGAGAGAGAAGGAGAAGCUCAAGCAGACUUCAUGCUGAGUGUGGAGCCUGACAAGAGUCUAAAUCUCACAGUCCUGAGGUCAUGACCUGAGCCAAAAUCAAGAGUUGAGUGCCUAACCGACUAAGCCACCCAGGUGCUCAACACUGGGGAAGCUUAGAACACCAAAGUCAAACUGAACUGUUUUUUAAGAGUCCCCAGAGAAGUCUUCCAGAUUGAGUAACUCAGAAUUGAGGAAAUGAACCCUAGGAAUAGGGGGAUGAAGGCUGGGGUAAUGCCAAAAAGCAACAGGUAAGGGCUGAGGUUUCGCAAAGAUGAAUCAAGAUUUUCGUAUUUUCAUACCUGAGGGUUAGUUAGCAUUUCUCUGAAAAGAAAGCAAGCCCAAAAUAAAGGAAACAAAAAUGCAGCA
RNAcentral lists this long non-coding RNA (1244 nucleotides) under Neogale vison (American mink). RNAcentral's name for it is "Neovison vison (American mink) lncRNA (ENSNVIG00000019421.1)". Lineage: Eukaryota; Metazoa; Chordata; Mammalia; Carnivora; Mustelidae. The record is from RNAcentral.